CUAAGUAGUAGUGCCGCAGGUAACAUGACUUGGGAUUACCUGCUCCCUGCUGCUUAACU
This 59-nucleotide microRNA precursor is filed under the name Ascaris suum (pig roundworm). Its description in RNAcentral is "Asu-Mir-252-P1_pre stem-loop". It matches the Rfam family "mir-252 microRNA precursor family", at positions 9 to 70 of the family's 77-position model. The record is from RNAcentral. Lineage: Eukaryota; Metazoa; Nematoda; Chromadorea; Rhabditida; Ascarididae.